AUCAACUUUCGAUGGUAGGAUAGAGGCCUACCAUGGUGGUAACGGGUAACGGGGUGUUAGGGCACGACACCGGAGAGGGAGCCUGAGAAACGGCUACCACAUCCAAGGAUGGCAGCAGGCGCGCAAAUUACCCAAUCCCGGCACGGGGAGGUAGUGACAAUAAAUAACAAUACGGGGUUCUUUCGGAUCUCGUAAUUGGAAUGAGUACAAUUUAAAUCUCUUAACGAGGAACAAUUGGAGGGCAAGUCUGGUGCCAGCAGCCGCGGUAAUUCCAGCUCCAAUAGCGUAUAUUAAAGUUGUUGCAGUUAAAAAGCUCGUAGUUGAAUUUCGGGGUUAGCAGGUCGGUCGUGCCAUCGGUAUGAACUGGUCUCGCUGAUCCCUCCCUCUUGACGAACUGUGAUGCCAUUAAUUUGGUGUCGCAGGGAAUCAGGACUGUUACCUUGAAAAAAUUAGAGUGUUUAAAGCAGGCUAACGCUUGAAUACAUUAGCAUGGAAUAAUGAAAUAGGACGUUCGAACCUAUUUUGUUGGUUUCUAGGAUCGACGUAAUGAUUAAUAGGGAUAGUUGGGGGCAUUAGUAUUCAAUUGUCAGAGGUGAAAUUCUUGGAUUUAUUGAAGACUGACUACUGCGAAAGCAUUUGCCAAGGAUGUUUUCAUUAAUCAAGAACGAAAGUUAGGGGAUCGAAGACGAUCAGAUACCGUCGUAGUCUUAACCAUAAACUAUGCCGACUAGGGAUCGGAUGAUGUUAAUUUUAUAAUGACUCAUUCGGCGCCUUACGGGAAACCAAAGUGUUUGGGUUC
RNAcentral lists this ribosomal RNA (799 nucleotides) under uncultured Glomus. RNAcentral describes it as "SSU rRNA". It matches the Rfam family "Eukaryotic small subunit ribosomal RNA", at positions 314 to 1114 of the family's 1831-position model. The record is from RNAcentral. Lineage: Eukaryota; Fungi; Glomeromycota; Glomeromycetes; Glomerales; Glomeraceae.